RNAcentral lists this ribosomal RNA (280 nucleotides) under uncultured bacterium. RNAcentral describes it as "partial 16S ribosomal RNA". It matches the Rfam family "Bacterial small subunit ribosomal RNA", at positions 332 to 606 of the family's 1533-position model. The record is from RNAcentral.
UCGACCUACGGGAGGCAGCAGUAGGGAAUUUUCGUCAAUGGGCGCAAGCCUGAACGAGCAAUGCCGCGUGAACGAGGAAGGUCCUCGGAUCGUAAAGUUCUGUUGAAGGGGAAAAAGAGGGGAGAAAGGAAAUGGUCUCCGAUUGAUAUUACCCUUCGAGGAAGUCACGGCUAACUACGUGCCAGCAGCCGCGGUAAUACGUAGGUGGCGAGCGUUAUCCGGAAUGAUUGGGCGUAAAGGGUGCGUAGGCGGCAUGCUAAGUCUGGAGUGAAAGGUACAG